AUUGAACGCUGGCGGCAUGCCUUACACAUGCAAGUCGAACGGCAGCACGGGGGCAACCCUGGUGGCGAGUGGCGAACGGGUGAGUAAUGCAUCGGAACGUGCCCCGUAGCGGGGGAUAACCAGUCGAAAGACUGGCUAAUACCGCAUACGCUCCACGGAGGAAAGCAGGGGAUCGCAAGACCUUGCACUAUGGGAGCGGCCGAUGCCCGAUUAGCUAGUUGGUGAGGUAAAGGCUCACCAAGGCGACGAUCGGUAGCUGGUUUGAGAGAACGACCAGCCACACUGGGACUGAGACACGGCCCAGACUCCUACGGGAGGCAGCAGUGGGGAAUUUUGGACAAUGGGCGCAAGCCUGAUCCAGCCAUGCCGCGUGCGGGAUGAAGG
RNAcentral lists this ribosomal RNA (384 nucleotides) under uncultured bacterium. RNAcentral's name for it is "bacterial SSU rRNA". It matches the Rfam family "Bacterial small subunit ribosomal RNA", at positions 29 to 414 of the family's 1533-position model. The record is from RNAcentral.